Long non-coding RNA from Corythoichthys intestinalis (scribbled pipefish), 3176 nucleotides. RefSeq lists it as uncharacterized. Lineage: Eukaryota; Metazoa; Chordata; Actinopteri; Syngnathiformes; Syngnathidae. The transcript is spliced from 3 exons. The record is from RefSeq and is a predicted model, not a curated record.
UAUUCUAAUUUAACUCCUUAAUAAUGCUUAUAAAGUUGUUAAAGGUCUUUUAUGUCUCCCAAAAAUGCUUUUAAACUAGUCACUUGCUUGUUGUUGAAAGUCUUUAGCGUCAACUUUUUAAUUGCUGUCCACUGUAAUGACUGUCACUAUUAUCGAAUAGCACUGACCCAAAACGGCCGUCCCAAAAUGGCUGCCCAUUCACUUGCCCUCAAGAGCCAAUCACAUGCCAAACAAGUUGUCAUCCAAUCAAAAAUGGCAACUUGCCACCUUUGUUUGGUAUCGUGGGCAAGUGGAGGAUGUCAACAAGUAAGAAUUACACACAAAGUCAUUUAUAUUACGUCUUGUUGCUCAUCAGGUAUUGGCACGGUGAAGCAACUCAUAGAUUUAGCACGAGCACUACUUGCAGGACGCAAACAAUUUACCUACAGUUUUGAAUUUGGUAGUUCACAUCCAUUACGUCAAGCUACGACCGAGCCCUGGUUUACGGAAGUGACGUUGGCAAGUCUAGCGGCUUUCCAACACUACUGCCAACUACUAGACAGUUUUCGAGCGUCCACUGAAGGCCCCGAGACGGUCCAUUAAAUAGUGUACGUUCGCUAGUUGUUAGGUAGCUGCUUAUGCUAUCCGGUCAUGUAGACACAUUAUGAGGUUUCGACCCAACCUGGAAAAUUAAUAAGCAACCCCCGGAGGAAAAACACUAAGGGACGUUUGCAAACCCACUGUGUGCGUUAUGCUAACACAGCUAGCGAGUCAACUACGGUAUCUUACAGACGUUGACUGACGUUAACUAGCCGUGUCGUAUGCCGUGGCGUCCAUCGGCUUUCCAGAAUUCAUUCAUGUUAGUAGGUAGCCGAUCGUGACAUCGAGCCAUCAAAAAUUAUGAGGGUAGAUUUGCAGCUAGCUUGCUAGUGAUGCUAUAGUUACCUGAAACGGAUUGUUGAAGUCCGGGUCGGCGAACGGGUUGCUGUCAAAGUCGGACAUUUUCCAGCCUUUCAGAUAAGCCUUUCCGGUGUGUCACUAUGCCCCGAACUGCCUAGCUGUCUAUAUUCGUUCCCUGUCUUUUGGCUUCCCCUUGCUGCCGGCCGCCUGCGGUCUUUUCCGCCUCCCGACCGCUGAUGGAGGACCGUCCGCCCGUUAGCAAAGAACAAAACGUGAAAUGUGUGACGUCAUACAUUCAGCACCGCGGAUAGCGUGACGUCACCACCAAAAUUCGCGAGAGUACUAUUCACACACGUCAUUUUUGCCAGAUGUUGAAAUUAUGACGUGCAUUUAAUUAAAAAUUACUAUUGCAAGCCCUCUAAAUAUAUAGUAAUUAAAUUCCCUCAAUCCGCUACGUCACGUGACCAAAACCGGUGAGCGGUGUCCUGUGCAACAACUCCAAGCUUGUGAGAUUUUCUUUUUUACAUGAGCUGAGCGUUUUUCCCCCACAGUGUUUUCAGAAUUCAGCAGAUAUAAAUGUCGGAUAAAAAAGGUUUUUGCCUGGGGAAGACUUCUAUAGGUGAAAUACUUGUGUACUUUGAACGCACAGAGAUCUCGUCACAGCAUGACAGUUGUAAAUCCCAGAAAAUACAACCCAUGUGAUCAAAAACGUUCAAAAGGUAUAUGGUAGGCUCAGCCAAAUGUCAUUUGCAGCAUAGAUAUAGUAUUAUAUAGUUUUGCAGUAUAGAUGGAUGCUCAACUAAAAUUGACGGGCGUUUUCUGCAUGGUCCUAGUGAGUGUUCUUGGUUUCAUUUUAUUCGUUAACAUUGUUUUUCAUAAUAAAAUGAAAGAAGACCAAAACUGCUGGAGAAAUUUCACUGACUACGGCACAGGUGUCAAACUUGGGGCACCGGAGCCAGACCAGGUCCGCCACAUCAUUAUGCGCGGCCGGCAUAAGUCAAUAAAAAGUCAUUAAAAUUGCCAAAAUGUUUCAAAACGUUAAGAAAUUGGAAGCAUUUGUUGUUACCAUUCCCACUUUUAAAAUAGAAGGAAUAAUUGUUGAACAAAAGGUUUUUACUGGUUCCUGAUUCCAAAACUAGACAUCAUUCUUUUUGUUGUGUAUCUCCCUUUUUAGAGAAAGUUGGACAAAGUGUAUUGGGGACUAAAAUUGUGUCUGCUGAUUUUCAUGUGAUGUGAAGCACCUUUACCUUGUGUUAAAUUCUGCUAUUCAAAUAAAUUUGCCUUGCCUAAAAGUGCCAAGGUUAAUAAAUAAAUACACAAUUAAUAAUUUCAUAGUUCUGUGGUAUGGGGGACUAAAAGUGCCAUGGGUUUAAAUGCAAACAUGUUAUUAGAUGUGUCAUUAAUUAAUUUAAAUGGCAAUUCUGUUCAAGUAAAAAAUAUUCAAUUUCAUUUUUUAUUAUCAUAUACUAUUCAAUUCAUCAUUAUUGGAUGGUCCUGUGUAGUUGCAGUGCUUCAUGAAUUUUAUUUUUCAACCUCGCCAGUCAAAGUUAGUGGCCGGAUCCGAAUACCUGAUUGAGCCAAGCACAAUCCUCUUCUGAACUAUUUUCCUUCCACCUCUGUACAUCCUGGAUCAUCCUUACAGCCACCUUAUCCACAUCAACACCAAGUCCAAGCCCGCCAAGUCCAGUCCCUUCCCACAAACAGACUGCUAGUGGAAAAAGAAGCACAGUGUGGCUGGGCCGCUGUGGCUGACGGGGCUGAGUCCUUGAGGAGAUCAUGCGUCUGUACAAAGUACAGGACAAGCUCUGAUGUUAGAGCUUUGGAAUGAUUCCCGAGCUGCUGCUCUUGUCCCCCCCCAUCCCUUUCUGGUCUGUUUCGUCCAAAUGUCUUCAUGGUAGCAUUCAUGGUUUUACCUGCACAUCCCUUUUUGGAUGUUUAUUUAUUUAUUAUUAUUAUUAUUUUUUAACGUGAUUUGCCCUCAUAAUAUAUUUCUGUUGCUUUUAUUUUUGCAUUGGCGCCCAAUAACCGGAGAUUUGUGUGAACGGGAAGUGACACUAAAUCAACAGGAAUCAACUUGGAAAUGCAGUAGGAUCUAAAGGAAGCAGCCCGGAAAUGCCUAAAAAAUCAACAGGAAAUGAGCCAAUAUUUACAGGAAGUAUCUUAAAAUUACAUGGAAGUGACACAAAAUUAAAUCAAUGACUGCCAUUGAAAACGAUAACCGUCCAAUUAACUUACACAUACAGUAAAUGCUCAUCUUCCAGUGCCACGCCUCGAUGUCCAAUCCAUUUUGACUGGGA